GCCGGGCGUGGCAGUGGGUGCCUGUAAUCCCAGCUCUUGGGAGGCUGAGGCAGGAGAAUCGCUUGAACCCGGGAGGUGGAGUUUGCAGUGAGCCGAGAUCGUGCCACUGCACUCUAGCCUGGGUGACAGAGUGAGACUCUGUCUCAA
Molecule: unclassified non-coding RNA, 147 nt
Organism: Macaca mulatta (Rhesus monkey)
Lineage: Eukaryota; Metazoa; Chordata; Mammalia; Primates; Cercopithecidae
Rfam family: Metazoan signal recognition particle RNA
About the family: The signal recognition particle (SRP) is a universally conserved ribonucleoprotein. It is involved in the co-translational targeting of proteins to membranes.
Source: Ensembl